CCGCCAAGAAAAUGAACUAUAUGCGAGAGUUUUUCAGCAAUGACAAGGACCAAUGCAUAUACGUAGUAACGGAGAGAAACAUUUUGCCUUAGACAGGCAACUAAACAUUCCAUCUACUGAACUGUGCUAGAACAACUGACAAAUAGAAGUUGGACCAUCAAAUUUAAAGUAGUGAUGUAUUCUUCCUCUCUUGGACUAACCAUUUUCAUCAAAUUAAAGAUUUUCUACAAGUCGACAGAGAAAAUAUCUACUCCCCCCACCCCCCCACCCCCUUCACCCAACAACAACAACAAACUCAUACCCAGAGUUUGAGAAUUACGAUCCUCAACACGUGUUAUAAUUUAAAAGGAAAACAUUAAAAUAUAGCCAUAUACUUUUGCUAAUAGGUCUGAUUGCCCUUUCAUUUGAAGCUUGACACAUCCAUGUAGUUUUUGGCUAAAAACUAAAAAAUUCACUUAACUUUGCCCUUGUGGUUUGUGAAACGUCUAACCUUUUGUCCUUAGCGAAAUGGAUUUACACAGAGAGUCAGCACUCAUUUUCGUUGCACAUUCCUUCUUCCACUGUAACCAUGUCGCAACCAGUGAUUCUACCAUCAAUCAACAACAACAACAUACUAGUUUAUUCUCACACAAUGGGGUCUGGAAAGGAUAAAGUGUACUCAGUCUAUACUACUACCUCACAUGAGGUAGAGAGACUGUUUUCGAUAAACUCUCGGCUCAAGACAUAUAACAGUAUAACAAACAAAAAACUUAAAAGUACAUAAAAAAAAAUGGGAUAACACACUGCUAGAUAAUAAAGGAAAUUCCAUCAUCCACCACCAUACCUAAUUCCGCCAUCAGUCGACCAAUUUGCCUUCACAACUUAUCUUCUCCAUUAAACUCAUAUUUGAAAUCCAUCUCUCUAUCCACCAUCCCUCCACCUCAAAUCACAGCUUUCACCACCACUCAUGCAUACACGAUAGUUUCUUCCGGAGCACAUCACCAAUGUUUCCGAUAUCACUCCAGAACUUCAAGACCAUAGGUAUUACACAAAAUGAGUUGACAGGUGAACUAGAACAGGGAAUUUCUUUCUCUCUUUUGUAUUAUGGAGGAAUUUUUUGGGUGUUUUGAAUUGUUGCAAAAGCUGUGUUUUUGUGGCGAUGCAGCCACAUAGCAAGUUUCUAGGGCAAGUUUGUCAAAAGAAUACCAUGGAAUUUUUUUUUUUUGUUAAAGUUUCAAACUUGAUAAAUAAUUUGUCAAAAAGACACUUAAUUCCA
Molecule: long non-coding RNA, 1255 nt
Filed under: Capsicum annuum
Lineage: Eukaryota; Viridiplantae; Streptophyta; Magnoliopsida; Solanales; Solanaceae
Description: long non-coding RNA (CANN_LNC010976)
Source: RNAcentral